UACGGGGGGAGCAAGCGUUGUUCGGAUUUACUGGGCGUAAAGGGCGCGUAGGCGGCGCAACAAGUCACUUGUGAAAUCUCCGGGCUUAACUCGGAAAGGUCAACUGAUACUGCGGGGCUAGAGUGCGGAAGGGGCAACUGGAAUUCUCGGUGUAGCGGUGAAAUGCGUAGAUAUCGAGAGGAACACCUGCGGCGAAGGCGGGUUGCUGGGCCGACACUGACGCUGAGGCGCGAAAGCCAGGGGAGCGAACGGG
RNAcentral lists this ribosomal RNA (253 nucleotides) under uncultured bacterium. RNAcentral describes it as "partial 16S ribosomal RNA". It matches the Rfam family "Bacterial small subunit ribosomal RNA", at positions 524 to 776 of the family's 1533-position model. The record is from RNAcentral.